GUACAAACAGGUUCUCACAGACACAUACAGGUGUACACACAGGUUCUCACAGACACACACAGGUGUACAAACAGGUACUCACAGACACACACAGGUGUACACACAGGUUCUCACAGACACACACAGGUGUACACACAGGUUCUCACAGACACACACAGGUGUACAAACAGGUUCUCACAGACACACACAGGUGUACACACAGGUUCUCACAGACACAUACAGGUGUACACACAGGUUCUCACAGACACAUACAGGUGUACACACAGGUUCUCACAGACACAUACAGGUGUACACACAGGUUCUCACAGACACAUACAGGUGUACACACAGGUUCUCACAGACAUACACAGGUGUACACACAGGUUCUCACAGACA
Molecule: long non-coding RNA, 375 nt
Organism: Brienomyrus brachyistius
Lineage: Eukaryota; Metazoa; Chordata; Actinopteri; Osteoglossiformes; Mormyridae
Exons: 4
Source: RefSeq, a predicted model, not a curated record